CACCCCUACAUGGGGACACGAGCCAAAUGACAGGGCCACUUGUCUAUGCUGUUCUAAGACAGGCAAGUAAUGAAUCAAACAAGUGGGCUGGCUGGCACCCUGGAGACUACCAGACUGAAGGGACCAGGCAGAGCUCAGUGCCGAGCUAGGUAUUUAAAGGAUGCUGAUGUUUGAGGUCCACAGGCUAGGGGUGGAGUCCUCAGUGUGUGUGUCUUUCUCCGUGUUCUGACAUUUGCUGGAUAGAAUCAAAUCAAAAGUGGGAUGUAGUCUUGACUGCAUGUUACCGAGGGGGAAAGGUUGGCUUUUGAAUGUUAAAAGAACAUGGUAUUUUGAGGCAAACCUGUUAAUUUGGUGGGUUUACAAAAGGGCUGUGUAAUGGAAAUCUAACAGCAGCAGCUCUGGGAAGGAACCUGCACACCUUACACAUGAAUUAUGGAUAAGGGAACAGAGCAAGGUUACCGCAGCCUCCAUUUGGGCCUCUCAGGGAAUGAGUUAUCGUUAGACUUUAACCAAACAACUCUAUUAUCCUCUGAUCCAAGGGACUGUGCUGUGCUAAUGUGAGGGGACAUCCACGGACCUCAUCCUUGUCCCUGAGCAGUUGAACCUGUCCCCACUCUGCAGUUAAAGAGGCUGAUGUUGAAUUCUGCUGUGCUGGAAAUGGCACCGUGUGACUCAAAUAGGCUGAAGGAAAGUUAAAAAUACAAGUUGCCUUGGCGAGGAUUUUGCAAACACCUGCCUUUGCAGGCUACCCUCCCACGGGUGACCUUGGGAAGGCCAGGAAAGCCAUAUGGGAGGAGCCAGGAUAUCAGCCAGGUGCCUUCAUCUCUGGCAGACUUUGCACCAGUGACAGCAGGUCUGAGGGGAGAUGAACAGGGCCCAGAGGACUGAAGACUGCCGACGGCUCAGUGGCUGCUCACUGACCAAGUCAGCAAAGGAUAAAGCUUGGGCCCUUACAGAGUGCUGGCGCCCCAAGAGCUGUUCCCAGGGGUAGCCUGCUGCCACUACCAUCUUAAGAGGAGCGACAAGGCAGCAUUUGUGCUCACACUGGGCAAAGGAAGAAAGGAUUCAGCAGGACAGGCUCAGCUGAGGAAGGGUGGGGGAGUUUUCCCUCCCUUCCUGGGGAACGAAAAGGUCCCCAGUGUAGAGCAAAAGGCUGUUCUGGAAGCCUGCACGCAACAUCAGAGGCCGAGAGCAGGCCGGCGCCCACAUGGCGCCCGCUGGAGCCCGGCAAGAGAGAAUCUGCCACCACACAUUAGAGGCAGCCCCCGUCCAAGUCGCCGCAGGCCCCGCAGCAGCAGCCAGGCAAGUUGCCCAGGUGAGACUGGAACUGGCAAUUUUCCUGCUGAAGCCUUCCAAGUGCUGGGAUUACAGGAGUGGGCCACCACAUGCAGUUCCUCUUCUGUUACCUUUAAUGGCUGCAAAGCUAGGGAGACUAGACCUGCAAAACGAACUGUGCCAUCAGACUGGAAGGACUGCUUCUUGCAAAGAAACAAAAUACUUUCUCCAGUGGUCCCGCUGCAUGAAGACCAUGAGAGAAAAAACCACAGGCAUGAUGGAAACUUAAUAAAGGCAGGUCAGCAGGGGUCGGCCUGCCGCAUGACAACGACAGUGAACCACUCUGUGGAGAACCAUGGGCAGCUAUAGCACUCAUCAAGUAACUUGGUUGAACACCAUGGGGACCAGCUGCCUCUGAGGGGAACUGAUGUCCCUGG
Heterocephalus glaber (naked mole-rat) is the source of this 1712-nucleotide long non-coding RNA. The record is from Ensembl. Lineage: Eukaryota; Metazoa; Chordata; Mammalia; Rodentia; Bathyergidae.